Molecule: ribosomal RNA, 484 nt
Filed under: uncultured bacterium
Lineage: Bacteria
Description: partial 16S ribosomal RNA
Rfam family: Bacterial small subunit ribosomal RNA
Source: RNAcentral
AUUGAACGCUGGCGGCAGGCCUAACACAUGCAAGUCGAGCGGAUGAAGGGAGCUUGCUCCUGGAUUCAGCGGCGGACGGGUGGGUAAUGCCUAGGAAUCUGCCUGGUAGAGGGGGAUAACGUCCGGAAACGGGCGCUAAUACCGCAUACGUCCUGAGGGAGAAAGUGGGGGAUCUUCGGACCUCACGCUAUCAGAUGAGCCUAGGUCGGAUUAGCUAGUUGGUGGGGUAAAGGCCUACCAAGGCGACGAUCCGUAACUGGUCUGAGAGGAUGAUCAGUCACACUGGAACUGAGACACGGUCCAGACUCCUACGGGAGGCAGCAGUGGGGAAUAUUGGACAAUGGGCGAAAGCCUGAUCCAGCCAUGCCGCGUGUGUGAAGAAGGUCUUCGGAUUGUAAAGCACUUUAAGUUGGGAGGAAGGGCAGUAAGUUAAUACCUUGCUGUUUUGACGUUACCAACAGAAUAAGCACCGGCUAACUUCGUG